RNAcentral lists this unclassified non-coding RNA (357 nucleotides) under Hevea brasiliensis (rubber tree). The record is from RNAcentral. Lineage: Eukaryota; Viridiplantae; Streptophyta; Magnoliopsida; Malpighiales; Euphorbiaceae.
GCAAAAGCAACCCCCCCCCCCCCAAUUAGAAUUUAGGUCUACAUGUGAUGUGUCGCACAUCGGUUCUACAGGAAUGUCUUGGGUGUUACAUAUAUGGGUUUGCAAACCUACCAUUGUGAGCUAACUUUUAAGGUGAAGUUAGGCAGGUUCAUAUCAUUUAGUAUCAGAGUCUCACUCAACACAGGUUGAUGGAUCAAGGCCAUGUACAGAGAUUCCCUGACGUUCUUCGGAGAGGUUGGGGUGAACAAGUCAUGACCCUGGUUGCUUAACGAGGAUGUUCAAUCUAAAGGGGUUGGUAAUGAUGCAUCCCAUAUUGAUUCUGCAGGGAGGUCCUGAGUGUUAUAUAUAUGGGUUUGC